This 520-nucleotide ribosomal RNA is filed under the name uncultured Glomus. RNAcentral describes it as "SSU rRNA". It matches the Rfam family "Eukaryotic small subunit ribosomal RNA", at positions 569 to 1094 of the family's 1831-position model. The record is from RNAcentral. Lineage: Eukaryota; Fungi; Glomeromycota; Glomeromycetes; Glomerales; Glomeraceae.
AGCAGCCGCGGUAAUUCCAGCUCCAAUAGCGUAUAUUAAAGUUGUUGCAGUUAAAAAGCUCGUAGUUGAAUUUCGGGAUCAGUUUGUUGGUCGUGCUUCGGUACGUACUGUCAUUACUGGUUUCUCCCUUCUGAAGAACCUUGAUGUCAUUAAUUUGGUGUCUUGGGGAAUCAGGACUGUUACUUUGAAAAAAUUAGAGUGUUUAAAGCAGGCAUACGCUUGAACACAUUAGCAUGGAAUAAUGAAAUAGGACGUUUGAUUCUAUUUUGUUGGUUUCUAGGAUCGACGUAAUGAUUAAUAGGGAUAGUUGGGGGCAUUAGUAUUCAAUUGUCAGAGGUGAAAUUCUUGGAUUUAUUGAAGACUAACUACUGCGAAAGCAUUUGCCAAGGAUGUUUUCAUUAAUCAAGAACGAAAGUUAGGGGAUCGAAGACGAUCAGAUACCGUCGUAGUCUUAACCAUAAACUAUGCCGACUAGGGAUCGGAUGAUGUUAUUUUAAUGACUCAUUCGGCGCCUUACGGA